Molecule: long non-coding RNA, 1510 nt
Organism: Xenia sp. Carnegie-2017
Lineage: Eukaryota; Metazoa; Cnidaria; Anthozoa; Malacalcyonacea; Xeniidae
Exons: 2
Source: RefSeq, a predicted model, not a curated record
CAACUUGUUUGUAUACUGUUGAGAACAUAUGAACAAAAGGAAACGUGCACAUCUCAUCAACGUGUCCCACAACGUGGAUAUAAGAUAUUUGCAACAGCCAGAUUAUCUUAAUUGUGAUAAUAUGCUUGCUUGGAAACAAUAGUUCCCCAAAAUACAGCAUUCAUGUGCAUAAGGAUUCAAAAACGUCAAAAAAUUUUUCCAGCGGUAAAAAAUUCUACACAGCUAACAGCAAGCGAUUUGUACUGUCUUAGAUGAGUAUACUACCAAAACAUGUCAGAUCCUAACGUUUGCAAAGUUGUGUGCAAGUUAUAUGGCAACUCUGAUCAACAAAUCCCGUUGGUGUUGGUGCAAUAUCUUUUUAGCGGCCGAGAACACGAGAUAACUCGCAUAUUGCCUCAUGGAAAUGCCAAAAAACGGUCGUCGUACACACGUCUUUUUCCAAGCACAAAGAGCAAGCUAAAGAAUUCAAUCCUAGGCAAAGAAGAAACCCGCAAGAGAUUCUUGACGAGGUUUAUAUUGCAGCUGGUGAUGUUGCUAUGGCAAGAUCUGCCAGUGAACUGCCAGGGGUCCCAACGACAUUUACAACGCAAUGCGUAAUGCAAGACAAGAGAAGGGCAUUGAAAUUAGUUCAAACGAGCGUUCUAAGAAAACAGAAAAAAUUGUUGGCGGUAAAAACGAAACGCUAAACAACGCUUGGACCCUUUUAGAACGUGCAAAGAGAGAGGAAGAUGAGUGAAAAGAUUCAAUUUUUAUAAGAGAAUGCUCCAUACAACCUGAUCUUUUUAUCGUUCUUGCCAAUAAUCAACAGCUAGAGGAGCUCGUACAAUUUGCACCCACCCUAGAAAAUUUAGCGUGUUUGGAAUCGGUCCAACAUUCAAUAUUUUUGAUAGAAACAUUGGUUUGACAGUAACAAAAUACAGGAAUCUUAAAUUAAUAAACACUGUUGGGCCACUACUCAUGCAUCAGAGAAAAGUCUGGAAAACAGCGUGAUACAAGAAUGAUAUGUGUACUAUACCAAAAUAAUACGUGUAUGAUACAAGAAUAAUACAUGAAUAUUACAAGAAUGAUACAUCUAUGACACAAGAUUGAUACGUAAAUAAUACAAGAAUGAUAAAACAAUGAUAUAUGAAUGAUUCGUGAAUGAUGUAAGAAUAUUACGCUAAUGACACAAAAAUGAUGGCUACAAUUGUUUUCGCAUGUAUUUAGAUUGGCUACUAUUUUUUUCAAUUGUUUUCACAUAAAUUCAGCCAAUCUGCGAUGCGUUGAGCAUUCAAAAAUAUGACAAAUAUUCAGAUAAGUGACUAAAGCAUAGGUUUUGCAAAAUAUUUGCCAAAACCCUAAAAACAUUCGCAUUUUUCAAAUGCAUAGAAAUACAUUUUAACGUUGAAAAAACUGCAAAAAUACAGUAAAAUUAUUCGUAAUUUAUGAGAUGUAUUUGUUUUUCGUGUUUUGCCAUGUACUUAUGAGAUAUUUGCAGUUUUUUGAAAAAUUUUGUUUUAACGGUCAGUAA